This is a non-coding RNA of Canis lupus familiaris (dog), 105 nucleotides long. The record is from Rfam. Lineage: Eukaryota; Metazoa; Chordata; Mammalia; Carnivora; Canidae.
AGGAGGAACAACCCCAGUGGUUGCUGCAGCUCUGGAAACCUGGAUUCAGCCCCCGCAGGAACUCCGGAGCUCUCCGUCUGCAGGGCCUGGAGGCUCCGGGGUGGG